CUUGCAAUUGGUCAAGGACGUAUUGUUACAUUGAUCAACUGGAUACGUCUUAUUCACGGCCCAAGACAGCCAUUUGGAUGCAAAGGGAUGAACAACAGAACAUUUGCUCCCGUCAGCUUCAUUCAGGUGCAUUGUUAAAUGGAGGCCCAUCUGGGAGAGCACAUGGCCUCUCCUCAAAUAAAGGCCAGAGAGUUCUCCCUGGUGACUUGGUCAAUAUCUCUCGCUCGGUCCAGAAGACCCAAAUCUAACACAGAAGGCCGGGUGCUUUACCUCAUCUCCAUUUGCAGAGCCAUGAUUUGCACAACUAGCUGCAGUGAUUCUCGCAUUACAACAGGAAAUCGGAAACAACUUUGGUGGCUGUACCGUGCAAUGUUCCGGCUGUGAAGAGAACCAGAUUGCAAGGAUGUUACCCUGAUCAUGAGGGGCUGCCUAAGGAGGAAGAAGAAGGAGGAAGGAACUGAGGCGACACAUCACUGACCAGGGAGCAGAAUGUAAAAAUCAAUGUCUUACUCACUACACCAUCCAGUUCCUUGGCAAAAAACUAUCAGGCAUGUUCCUUUCUUUCUUAAUCAAGGGGAAAAAGGUUGUUGGAUUUUAGUGCAAUUUCUGCAGCACGUGUGAAUGGGUAUGGGCAUAUUUCCUAAUCUAAAUGAAAGUAAUUGCAAAAUUUGGUUCUGUAGCCUCAGAUUUCCAAACCGUUUCAAUUACUAUCUUAAGAAGGGCAAGGUUAUUGUGUUUACUAGAAGGACAAAUAUUCAUGCAAGGAUUGUUGUUCUUGUCUGUUUUAUUAAUGCACAUAAGAGAAGAGGGUGCAGUCAGUAUGAUAUGCACCAUUUUCUCAGUGUCACUUGGGAGUGAUCAGUUUUUGAAACAAUCUCUGUCAAAUGUGAUGACUCGGGAA
Long non-coding RNA from Stegostoma tigrinum, 901 nucleotides. RefSeq lists it as uncharacterized. NCBI's taxonomy places the organism in Eukaryota, Metazoa, Chordata, Chondrichthyes, Orectolobiformes, Stegostomatidae. The record is from RefSeq and is a predicted model, not a curated record. The transcript has 3 exons.